Molecule: ribosomal RNA, 329 nt
Filed under: uncultured eukaryote
Lineage: Eukaryota
Description: partial 18S ribosomal RNA
Rfam family: Eukaryotic small subunit ribosomal RNA
Source: RNAcentral
CCCUUAGAUGUCCUGGGCCGCACGCGCGCUACACUGAGUGUCUGAGAUACGAGUCUGCCUGGUCCGGCAAGGUCUGGGUAAUCGCUAAAAGACACAUCAUGCUUGGGAUAGAUUAUUGCAAAUAUUAAUCUUGAACGAGGAAUUCCUAGUAAGCGCAAGUCAACAGCUUGCGUUGAUUACGUCCCUGCCCUUUGUACACACCGCCCGUCGCUACUACUGAUUGGAUGUUUAAGCGAGGUUCUCGAACUGCUAGCGACUUAGCUUCGGUGAGGUCGCAGUGUGGGAAGUGAACCGAGCUUUGGUGUCUAGAGGAAGUAAAAGUCGUAACA